UAGAGGAGAAAACCAAAUGAACGAAGUUCAUUUAUAAGGACGUUUUCGACGAAAUGCCGCUGACCGAAGGGAGGGGGCAAUACACAAU
Small RNA from Eubacterium sp. CAG:161, 88 nucleotides. It matches the Rfam family "GA-cis RNA". The record is from Rfam. Lineage: Bacteria; Bacillati; Bacillota; Clostridia; Eubacteriales; Eubacteriaceae.